CUGGUUAGGAUACUCGGCUCUCAC
Molecule: non-coding RNA, 24 nt
Filed under: Arabidopsis thaliana (thale cress)
Lineage: Eukaryota; Viridiplantae; Streptophyta; Magnoliopsida; Brassicales; Brassicaceae
Source: RNAcentral